Molecule: ribosomal RNA, 415 nt
Filed under: Wolbachia endosymbiont of Myzus persicae
Lineage: Bacteria; Pseudomonadati; Pseudomonadota; Alphaproteobacteria; Rickettsiales; Anaplasmataceae
Description: bacterial SSU rRNA
Rfam family: Bacterial small subunit ribosomal RNA
Source: RNAcentral
GGUCGGUUUGGCCGGAUUUCACACAGGUGUUGCAUGGCUGUCGUCAGCUCGUGUCGUGAGAUGUCGGGUUAAGUCCCGCGACGAGCGCAACCCUCAUCCUUAGUUACCAUCAGGUUAUGCUGGGGACUUUAAGGAAACUUCCAGUGAUAAACUGGAGGAAGGUGGGGAUGAUGUCAAGUCAUCACGGCCCUUAUGGAGUGGGCUACACACGUGCUACAAUGGUGAUUACAAUGGGCUGCAAGGUCGCAAGGUUGAGCUAAUCCUAAAAAUCAUCUCAGUUCGGAUUGCUCCCCGCAACUCGAGAGCAUGAAGUUGGAAUCGCUAGUAAUCGUGGAUCAGCGUGCCACGGUGAAUACGUUCUCGGGUCUUGUACACACUGCCCGUCACGCCAUGGUAAUUGGUUUCACUCGAAGCU